Non-coding RNA from Nylanderia fulva, 1105 nucleotides. NCBI's taxonomy places the organism in Eukaryota, Metazoa, Arthropoda, Insecta, Hymenoptera, Formicidae. The record is from RefSeq and is a predicted model, not a curated record.
GAAAGAGAUGUAUAUUGUGUUUUUAAAAUUUAAGAAGCCGACUUAAUAUUCUUAUUAUUAUUUUUCUUGCUUUAUGCUAUCACUGUGAACUGGAGAAUUUUGAUAUAUUAUCUUUUCACAGACGCAUCAUCUCGAACUUUCCAUUAGACACCGGUCUUGGCAGUUCGACAUUAUAUUCGCAGCAUGCUUUCUUCUUUCGGAGGAUAUACAGAAUAAUACACGUGAUAUUCGUGAUUUGAUCAUCUUUUUUUGAUGCCAGUUAGACGUUUCGCUAAAAGAUGCGAACAAAUGAUGCAAGACUUUAGAUAUAUUUGCCAGGAAAAGUACGAUCAACCAAUAAAAUGGCAGUGCUGAAAUCUGCACUUCCUGACACAUUUAUUACUAUGUUAAAUGAAUUAAAUAGAUUUGUAAAAAUAUAUAUAUAAAUAUCUGCGUCUUCUAAACCGUAAUAUUCAAAAUGCCAAUUUACCUCAACAGCAAUUGUAUUAUGAUAAAUUACAGUAUUACAUUAGAGAGACUCAACUAUUAUUAAAGAAUCAUGACAUAUCCAAUGAGCCAUUCAAUCAUAUUUUCGAAAAAGCAAGCUCCAUUGAAUACUCUGCAAAGCUUACAGGUUUUGGACCUAGAUAUUCAUAUAUUGUGUUACUACCGAGCUUUACAAACGGAGAAAUCGUGGAUAUUAUAAUACAGUUUAAGAAUACAAAUUUAACUCCUACACUUACAAGCAUUAAUCGUGAUGCUGUAACACUUGAUGAAUACCAUUGUGAUUAAUUCUGUUAAAAUUAUCGCGUUUAUUAUAUAUAAAUGACUAAAUAAUAACAUCUAAUUGAUUGUAAAAAAAUUUGUCGGAAUUAUGCAUGAAUACUGUAAUAUUCAAAGAAAUGACGAAGAGUAUACAUUUUUUUUCAAUGUAUGAAUAUAUACUACAAUAUAUAUGUUGCUUAAAAACUGCGGUUUUAUAAUGACGUCAUAUUGAAUUAUAAAAUCAAAGGUCUUAAAUCAUUUAACAUUUUUCUCGUCAAAAUUGUCGAAAGAUAUUGAGUCUCUUCGUAUUCUAUCUUAUAUUAAGCUUUAAAAAUAUAGGCGAUCUUGAGUCGAGAUCAUG